This 253-nucleotide ribosomal RNA is filed under the name uncultured bacterium. RNAcentral's name for it is "partial 16S ribosomal RNA". It matches the Rfam family "Bacterial small subunit ribosomal RNA", at positions 524 to 776 of the family's 1533-position model. The record is from RNAcentral.
UACGUAGGGCGCAAGCGUUGUCCGGAAUUAUUGGGCGUAAAGAGCUCGUAGGCGGCUUGUCACGUCGAUUGUGAAAGCCCGAGGCUUAACCUCGGGUCUGCAGUCGAUACGGGCUAGCUAGAGUGUGGUAGGGGAGAUCGGAAUUCCUGGUGUAGCGGUGAAAUGCGCAGAUAUCAGGAGGAACACCGGUGGCGAAGGCGGAUCUCUGGGCCAUUACUGACGCUCAUGCACGAAAGCGUGGGGAGCAAACAGG